AUGAGUUGCAGGGUAUAGACCCGAAACCCGGUGAGCUAGCCAUGGGCAGGUUGAAGGUUGGGUAACACUAACUGGAGGACCGAACCGACUAAUGUUGAAAAAUUAGCGGAUGACUUGUGGCUGGGGGUGAAAGGCCAAUCAAACCGGGAGAUAGCUGGUUCUCCCCGAAAGCUAUUUAGGUAGCGCCUCGUGAGUUCAUCUUCGGGGGUAGAGCACUGUUUCGGCUAGGGGGCCAUCCCGGCUUACCAACCCGAUGCAAACUGCGAAUACCGAAGAAUGGUAUCACGGGAGACACACGGCGGGUGCUAACGUCCGUCGUGAAGAGGGAAACAACCCAGACCGCCAGCUAAGGUCCCGAAGUCAUGGUUAAGUGGGAAACGAUGUGGGAAGGCCCAGACAGCCAGGAUGUUGGCUUAGAAGCAGCCAUCAUUGAAAGAAAGCGUAAUAGCUCACUGGUCGAGUCGGCCUGCGCGGAAGAUGUAACGGGGCUAAACCAUGCACCGAAGCUGCGGCAGCGACAUGUAAGUGUCGUUGGGUAGGGGAGCGUUCUGUAAGCCGGUGAAGGCGGCGCCGUGAGGCCUGCUGGAGGUAUCAGAAGUGCGAAUGCUGACAUAAGUAACGAUAAAGCGGGUGAAAAACCCGCUCGCCGGAAGACCAAGGGUUCCUGUCCAACGUUAAUCGGGGCAGGGUGAGUCGACCCCUAAGGCGAGGCCGAACGGCGUAGCUGAUGGGAAACAGGUUAAUAUUCCUGUACUGAAUGUGACUGCGAAGGGGGGACGGAGAAGGCUAGGCCAUCCGGGCGACGGUCGUCCCGGUUUAAGCGUGUAGGUGGGAGGAGCAGGCAAAUCCGCUCUUCUGUGAACACUGAGGCGUGAUGACGAGCCGCUACGGCGGUGAAGUGGUUGAUGCCCGGCUUCCAGGAAAAGCCUCUAAGCACCAGGUCACAGACAAUCGUACCCCAAACCGACACAGGUGGUCAGGUAGAGAAUACUCAGGCGCUUGAGAGAACUCGGGUGAAGGAACUAGGCAAAAUGGUGCCGUAACUUCGGGAGAAGGCACGCUGGCGUUAGGUGAAGGGAUUGACUCCCGGAGCCGAAGCCAGUCGCAGAGACCAGCUGGCUGCAACUGUUUAUUAAAAACACAGCACUGUGCCAACACGUAAGUGGACGUAUACGGUGUGACGCCUGCCCGGUGCUGGAAGGUUAAUUGAUGGGGUUAGCCGCGAGGCGACGCUCUUGAUCGAAGCCCCAGUAAACGGCGGCCGUAACUAUAACGGUCCUAAGGUAGCGAAAUUCCUUGUCGGGUAAGUUCCGACCUGCACGAAUGGCGUAAUGAUGGCCAGGCUGUCUCCACCCGAGACUCAGUGAAAUUGAACUCGCUGUGAAGAUGCAGUGUCCCCGCGGCAAGACGGAAAGACCCCGUGAACCUUUACUAUAGCUUGACACUGAACAUGGAGCCUUGAUGUGUAGGAUAGGUGGGAGGCUUGGAAGUGCGGACGCCAGUCUGCAUGGAGCCAUCCUUGAAAUACCACCCUUGAAUGUUCGAUGUUCUCACUUAGGCCCGUCAUCCGGGCCGAGGACAGUGUCUGGCGGGUAGUUUGACUGGGGCGGUCUCCUCCCAAAGCGUAACGGAGGAGCACGAAGGUUGGCUAAUCACGGUCGGACAUCGUGAGGUUAGUGCAAAGGCAUAAGCCAGCUUAACUGCGAGAGUGACGGCUCGAGCAGGUACGAAAGUAGGUCUUAGUGAUCCGGUGGUUCUGGAUGGAAGGGCCAUCGCUCAACGGAUAAAAGGUACUCCGGGGAUAACAGGCUGAUACCGCCCAAGAGUUCAUAUCGACGGCGGUGUUUGGCACCUCGAUGUCGGCUCAUCACAUCCUGGGGCUGAAGUAGGUCCCAAGGGUAUGGCUGUUCGCCAUUUAAAGUGGUACGCGAGCUGGGUUUAGAACGUCGUGAGACAGUUCGGUCCCUAUCUGCCGUGGGCGCAGGAAGAUUGAAAGGGGCUGCUCCUAGUACGAGAGGACCGGAGUGGACGCACCGCUGGUGUACGGGUUGUCAUGCCAAUGGCAUCGCCCGGUAGCUAAGUGCGGGAGAGAUAACCGCUGAAAGCAUCUAAGCGGGAAACUUGCCUUGAGAUGAGUCUUCCCUUGACUUGAGGUCACGGAAGGAACGUUUAAGACGAAGACGUGGAUAGGCUGGGUGUGUAAGUGCAGUGAUGCAUUGAGCUGACCAGUACUAAUGAACCGAGAGGCUUAACCUUACAACGCCGAAGGGGUUUUG
Molecule: ribosomal RNA, 2276 nt
Filed under: Photorhabdus luminescens
Lineage: Bacteria; Pseudomonadati; Pseudomonadota; Gammaproteobacteria; Enterobacterales; Morganellaceae
Description: bacterial LSU rRNA
Rfam family: Bacterial large subunit ribosomal RNA
Source: RNAcentral